This 250-nucleotide unclassified non-coding RNA is filed under the name plant metagenome. RNAcentral's name for it is "partial contains small subunit ribosomal RNA, internal transcribed spacer 1, and 5.8S ribosomal RNA". The stretch from base 164 to 250 matches the Rfam family "5.8S ribosomal RNA", at positions 1 to 54 of the family's 154-position model. The record is from RNAcentral.
GUAGGUGAACCUGCGGAAGGAUCAUUAACAAAUCUAACAAUAGUUUUGCUCACAGUGAAAGUCGCUCCCUUCUUGUAAGGGUGUGAUGGAAGCCGUGAUGCAAUACAAUUCACACAUACAGUGAUUGACACAUCAUGAUUACCAAGAAACUCUAAUUGUAAACAACUUUUAACAAUGGAUCUCUUGGCUCUUGCAUCGAUGAAGAACGCAGCAUCUGACUGACUGAACUGUAUCUCAUCUCGUAUGCCGU